Molecule: ribosomal RNA, 484 nt
Filed under: uncultured bacterium
Lineage: Bacteria
Description: bacterial SSU rRNA
Rfam family: Bacterial small subunit ribosomal RNA
Source: RNAcentral
GAUGAACGCUAGCGACAGGCCUUACACAUGCAAGUCGAACGGUAACAGGGAGCUUGCUCCGCUGACGAGUGGCGAACGGGUGAGUAAUGUAUCGGAACGUACCAUUCAGUGGGGGAUAACGUAGCGAAAGUUACGCUAAUACCGCAUAUUCUGUGAGCAGGAAAGCAGGGGAUCGCAAGACCUUGCGCUGAUUGAGCGGCCGAUAUCAGAUUAGCUAGUUGGUGAGGUAAAGGCUCACCAAGGCGACGAUCUGUAGCGGGUCUGAGAGGAUGAUCCGCCACACUGGAACUGAGACACGGUCCAGACUCCUACGGGAGGCAGCAGUGGGGAAUUUUGGACAAUGGGGGCAACCCUGAUCCAGCCAUGCCGCGUGAGUGAAGAAGGCCUUCGGGUUGUAAAGCUCUUUCGGCCGGGAAAAAUCGCAUCAGUUAAUACCUGGUGUGGAUGAUGGUACCGAAUAAGAAGCACCGGCUAACUACGUGCC